CCUACGGGUGGCAGCAGUGGGGGAUAUUGGACAAUGGGGGAAACCCUGAUCCAGCGACGCCGCGUGAGGGAAGAAGUAUUUCGGUAUGUAAAGCUUUAUCAGCAGGGAAGAAAGAAAUGACGGUACCUGAGUAAGAAGCCUCGGCUAACUACGUGCCAGCAGCCGCGGGAAUACGUAGGGGGCAAGCGUUAUGCGGAAUUACGGGGUGUAAAGGGAGCGUAGACGGUAAUGCAAGUCUGGAGGGAAAGGCGGGGGCCCAACCCCCGGACUGCCCUGGAAACUGUGUAACUGGAGUGCAGGGGAGGCAGGCGGAAUGCCUAGUGUAGCGGUGAAAUGCGUAGAUAUUAGGAGGAACACCAGUGGCGAAGGCAGCCUGCUGGACUGUAACUGACGUUGAGGCUCGAAAGCGUGGGGAGCGAACAGGAUUAGAUACCCUAGUAGUC
Molecule: ribosomal RNA, 443 nt
Filed under: uncultured bacterium
Lineage: Bacteria
Description: partial 16S ribosomal RNA
Rfam family: Bacterial small subunit ribosomal RNA
Source: RNAcentral